UGCAAGUCGAGCGGUAACAAAGAGUAGCUUGCUACUUUGCUGACGAGCGGCGGACGGGUGAGUAAUGCUUGGGAACAUGCCUUGAGGUGGGGGACAACAGUUGGAAACGACUGCUAAUACCGCAUAAUGUCUACGGACCAAAGGGGGCUUCGGCUCUCGCCUUUAGAUUGGCCCAAGUGGGAUUAGCUAGUUGGUGAGGUAAUGGCUCACCAAGGCAACGAUCCCUAGCUGGUUUGAGAGGAUGAUCAGCCACACUGGGACUGAGACACGGCCCAGACUCCUACGGGAGGCAGCAGUGGGGAAUAUUGCACAAUGGGCGCAAGCCUGAUGCAGCCAUGCCGCGUGUGUGAAGAAGGCCUUCGGGUUGUAAAGCACUUUCAGUCAGGAGGAAAGGUUAGUAGUUAAUACCUGCUAGCUGUGACGUUACUGACAGAAGAAGCACCGGCUAACUCCGUGCCAGCAGCCGCGGUAAUACGGAGGGUGCGAGCGUUAAUCGGAAUUACUGGGCGUAAAGCGUACGCAGGCGGUUUGUUAAGCGAGAUGUGAAAGCCCCGGGCUCAACCUGGGAACUGCAUUUCGAACUGGCAAACUAGAGUGUGAUAGAGGGUGGUAGAAUUUCAGGUGUAGCGGUGAAAUGCGUAGAGAUCUGAAGGAAUACCGAUGGCGAAGGCAGCCACCUGGGUCAACACUGACGCUCAUGUACGAAAGCGUGGGGAGCAA
RNAcentral lists this ribosomal RNA (720 nucleotides) under Pseudoalteromonas sp. RHS-str.409. Its description in RNAcentral is "bacterial SSU rRNA". It matches the Rfam family "Bacterial small subunit ribosomal RNA", at positions 56 to 771 of the family's 1533-position model. The record is from RNAcentral. Lineage: Bacteria; Pseudomonadati; Pseudomonadota; Gammaproteobacteria; Alteromonadales; Pseudoalteromonadaceae.